Long non-coding RNA from Salvelinus fontinalis (brook trout), 1286 nucleotides. RefSeq lists it as uncharacterized. The transcript has 2 exons. The record is from RefSeq and is a predicted model, not a curated record. Lineage: Eukaryota; Metazoa; Chordata; Actinopteri; Salmoniformes; Salmonidae.
GAUACAUAUCGGAGAAUCGUUACAUCCCUACUAGCUAGCCACUUAAUAUAACUUGUUUUCUCUAAAUGUAUGUUGGCUAGCUAUGUUAUGAAUACAACUACCAUCUGCUGUCGACAUCAGGAUACGAUUUGAGAGCACUAGUUCGCUCCAAAAGUGGUUAUAGCUUUGACUGCAUGCAGACAGUGAAUUCAGAGCCACUGUGGCUAUAGCUACACUGCAAACAUAUUUUUUACCAGGCUCCCCUGAAGCAAUUGUAAUGGCAGUCCACCACAACAUACCCAAUAGCAUAUUGAUUAGCAAGGGUUAGUCUGUGUUUAGUUUCAGCCCCCUCUUGAAUUACUCCCUGUUCACCCAUGACUGUGUGGCUAAACACAUCUCCAACUCAAUCAUCAAGUUGGCUGAUGACACAACAGUGGUAGGCCUGAUUACCAACAACAACGAGAUAGCCUACUACAGAGCCUGGCGGAGUGGUGCCAGGAAAAUAACCUCUCCCACAAUGUCAACAAAACGAAAGAGCUGAUCUGGGACUACAGGAGACCACAGAGACAACACGCCCCAUUCACAUCACAUGGCCCCAGUGGAGGGUAAAAAAGCUUCAAGUUCCUUGGUGUGCACAUCACAGAGGACCUGAAAUGGUCCCACCACACAACACCGUGGUGAAGGACGUGCAACAUUGCCUCUUCAACCUAAGGAGACAAAUUCAGCUUGGCCCCUAACGAUAUGGAGAGCUGCGAAACACUGUCUGCAGAUGAAGAGGUACCAGUGAAUGUCCCAAGAACCUGCUUGGCACAUCCUUGUGUACCAUGGGUUGUAAAUGUUAGCACAUGUUGUAUACAGCAAUACAGUUAAAAGUAAUACACAAUUUAGGUUACAAACGUAUUACAACUGUAGCAGGCCAAUCCUUCUCCUGGAGGUAUGCUGGUUGUGCCGGCUUCUGUUCAAGCCCAGCACUAACACACCUGAUUCAAAUUAUCAAACCUAAUGAGUUGAUAAUAAUGUGUAUUAUUGGUGGGCUGGAAUAGAAAUAUGCUCACCAAGUAGAUCAAGGAGUGGAUCAAGGUUGGUCACAUCUGGUAUGGACUUUUUUUUGUUCACCUGAAAUGAAGCUUUCGUAAUAAUAGCCUACUUACUAAGAUGUCUAAGUUAGCUAAUUUGUACAUUUUGAAAUUAUAUGUUUAAACUUGUUUUAAUUGUUAAUUUAAAAAACAUAAUUCAAGAUGAACUAGUGUCAAUGUUCAUUAAUCACAGAUCAUAGUUGUACAAUAAAAAGGUGUGAAGGAAAAUAA